GACUUAGCUGAACACAAAUAUUAGUGAUUCACAACAGUAAAACAUAUCACAGCGAUGAUAUUGUCAGUGAAAGUUACUUUUUUUGCAUUUUUCACACACAAACAGCACUUUUACUGAUGAUAUAAUUGUUGUGAUACGUUUUCCAGUUUUUUAAACACUAAUAUUUGUGUUCAGCGAUGUC
Molecule: microRNA precursor, 181 nt
Filed under: Pelobates cultripes (western spadefoot toad)
Lineage: Eukaryota; Metazoa; Chordata; Amphibia; Anura; Pelobatidae
Source: RNAcentral